This 468-nucleotide ribosomal RNA is filed under the name uncultured bacterium. RNAcentral describes it as "partial 16S ribosomal RNA". It matches the Rfam family "Bacterial small subunit ribosomal RNA", at positions 28 to 507 of the family's 1533-position model. The record is from RNAcentral.
GACGAACGCUGGCGGCGUGCUUAGCACAUGCAAGUCGAACGGAAAGGCCUUGCUUUUGUGGGGUGCUCGAGUGGCGAACGGGUGAGUAACACGUGAGUAACCUGCCCUUGACUUUGGGAUAACUUCAGGAAACUGGGGCUAAUACCGGAUAGGAGCUCCUGCUGCAUGGUGGGGGUUGGAAAGUUUCGGCGGUUGGGGAUGGACUCGCGGCUUAUCAGCUUGUUGGUGGGGUAGUGGCUUACCAAGGCUUUGACGGGUAGCCGGCCUGAGAGGGUGACCGGCCACAUUGGGACUGAGAUACGGCCCAGACUCCUACGGGAGGCAGCAGUGGGGAAUAUUGCACAAUGGGCGGAAGCCUGAUGCAGCAACGCCGCGUGCGGGAUGACGGCCUUCGGGUUGUAAACCGCUUUCGCCUGUGACGAAGCGUGAGUGACGGUAAUGGGUAAAGAAGCACCGGCUAACUACGUG